This 505-nucleotide ribosomal RNA is filed under the name uncultured bacterium. RNAcentral's name for it is "partial 16S ribosomal RNA". It matches the Rfam family "Bacterial small subunit ribosomal RNA", at positions 28 to 507 of the family's 1533-position model. The record is from RNAcentral.
GACGAACGCUGGCGGCGUGCCUAAUACAUGCAAGUAGAACGCACAGUUUAUACCGUAGCUUGCUACACCAUAGACUGUGAGUUGCGAACGGGUGAGUAACGCGUAGGUAACCUGCCUGGUAGCGGGGGAUAACUAUUGGAAACGAUAGCUAAUACCGCAUAAUAUUGAUUAUUGCAUGAUAAUUGAUUGGAAGAUGCUAUUGCAUCACUACCAGAUGGACCUGCGUUGUAUUAGCUAGUAGGUGAGGUAACGGCUCACCUAGGCGACGAUACAUAGCCGACCUGAGAGGGUGAUCGGCCAAACUGGGACUGAGACACGGCCCAGACUCCUACGGGAGGCAGCAGUAGGGAAUCUUCGGCAAUGGACGAAAGUCUGACCGAGCAACGCCGCGUGAGUGAAGAAGGUUUUCGGAUCGUAAAGCUCUGUUGUAAGAGAAGAACGGGUGUGAGAGUGGAAAGUUCACACUGUGACGGUAUCUUACCAGAAAGGGACGGCUAACUACGUG